This 440-nucleotide ribosomal RNA is filed under the name uncultured bacterium. RNAcentral's name for it is "partial 16S ribosomal RNA". It matches the Rfam family "Bacterial small subunit ribosomal RNA", at positions 338 to 795 of the family's 1533-position model. The record is from RNAcentral.
CCUACGGGUGGCAGCAGUGGGGAAUAUUGCACAAUGGGGGAAACCCUGAUGCAGCGACGCCGCGUGCGGGAAGAAGUACCUCGGUAUGUAAAGCUCUAUCAGCAGGGAAGAAAAUGACGUUACCUGAGUAAGAAGCCCCGUCUAACUACGUGCCAGCAGCCGCGGUAAUACGUAGGGGGCAAGCGUUAUCCGGAUUUACUGGGUGUAAAGGGAGCGUAGACGGCAGUGCAAGUCUGGAGUGAAAGGCGGGGGCUCAACCCCCGGACUGCACUGGAAACUGUACGGCUGGAGUGCAGGAGAGGUAAGUGGAAUUCCUAGUGUAGCGGUGAAAUGCGUAGAUAUUAGGAGGAACACCAGUGGCGAAGGCAGCUUACUGGACUGUAACUGACGUUGAGGCUCGAAAGCGUGGGGAGCGAACAGGAUUAGAUACCCCAGUAGUC